This 506-nucleotide ribosomal RNA is filed under the name Entoloma hypogaeum. Its description in RNAcentral is "eukaryotic LSU rRNA". The stretch from base 145 to 298 matches the Rfam family "5.8S ribosomal RNA". The record is from RNAcentral. Lineage: Eukaryota; Fungi; Basidiomycota; Agaricomycetes; Agaricales; Entolomataceae.
GACAAAACCCUCAAUCUUGAGCAUUGCUGUGUGUGAAAACCCAUCAGCUUUUCUUGGCUUUCAGGUCUAUGCUUCUAUAUUUACACUAUAGGAAUGUAUUAGAAUGUUGUAAAUGGGCCUUUUGUGCCUUUAAAACAUAAAUACAACUUUCAACAACGGAUCUCUUGGCUCUCGCAUCGAUGAAGAACGCAGCGAAAUGCGAUAAGUAAUGUGAAUUGCAGAAUUCAGUGAAUCAUCGAAUCUUUGAACGCACCUUGCACUCCUUGGUAUUCCGAGGAGUAUGCCUGUUUGAGUGUCAUGAAAUUCUCAACCUUUCUGGCUCUUGUGAGACAAGUUAGGCUUGGACAAUGGGAGUUGCUGGCUCUUUCUUUGUAAAAGUCAGCUCUUCUCAAAUGCAUUAGCAGGAUCAUCGCUGGUCAUCUUUGGUAUGAUAAUUAUCUAUACCACUGACAAUCAGUGUCCUUCAUGGAAGAUUUUGCUUCUAGUAGUCUCUCCAGAGACAAUAU